AGUGAACGCUGGCGGUAGGCCUAACACAUGCAAGUCGAACGGCAGCACAGUAAGAGCUUGCUCUUACGGGUGGCGAGUGGCGGACGGGUGGGGAAUACAUCGGAAUCUACUUUUUCGUGGGGGAUAACGUAGGGAAACUUACGCUAAUACCGCAUACGACCUACGGGUGAAAGCAGGGGAUCUUCGGACCUUGCGCGAUUGAAUGAGCCGAUGUCGGAUUAGCUAGUUGGCGGGGUAAAGGCCCACCAAGGCGACGACCCGUAGCUGGUCUGAGAGGAUGAUCAGCCACACUGGAACUGAGACACGGUCCAGACUCCUACGGGAGGCAGCAGUGGGGAAUAUUGGACAAUGGGCGCAAGCCUGAUCCAGCCAUACCGCGUGGGUGAAGAAGGCCUUCGGGUUGUAAAGCCCUUUUGUUGGGAAAGAAAAGCAGCAGGUUAAUACCCCGCUGUUCUGACGGUACCCAAAGAAUAAGCACCGGCUAACUUCGUG
RNAcentral lists this ribosomal RNA (492 nucleotides) under uncultured bacterium. RNAcentral's name for it is "partial 16S ribosomal RNA". It matches the Rfam family "Bacterial small subunit ribosomal RNA", at positions 29 to 507 of the family's 1533-position model. The record is from RNAcentral.